Long non-coding RNA from Poecilia latipinna (sailfin molly), 2531 nucleotides. RefSeq lists it as uncharacterized. The record is from RefSeq and is a predicted model, not a curated record. The transcript is spliced from 3 exons. Lineage: Eukaryota; Metazoa; Chordata; Actinopteri; Cyprinodontiformes; Poeciliidae.
UCUGGCACGCGACUCUUCCGGCCCGUCUCUGGUGAUCCAUUACACGGCGGUGCCAACUCGAACCUUUUCUAAGUCAGCUCUGGCAGCUUGUCGAGCAGAGUGCAGUAAAACCCGGCGCUCCAUGGCUAGUUCUCCUAAUCGUGUGGAAACUCUGACUACUUACAGAAGCAAUGAGGGAGGCAACAUCUGCAACGGCUCGCCAUGUGAACGAGCGGGCGGGGUGGGAAAGAAGUGGAGGAGAACGACUACAAGCUGGCGAGCCGCUUCUGACGUGGCUCGCGGAUAAACAAAAGCCUGCCAAUCCUCCGUGUUCACAGUGCCUCCUCUUGUCAAAAUUCUUUCACAUCCAGGUGGUUUUGGUCUCAGACAAUGCUGGGUUUUUUUUUUUUUUUUUUUGUCUCUUUUUUUCUUCCAAGCAAAGUCCGUGGCCAAGCAGCUGCUGCUAAUCUCUGUUAGCAGAGUCCCACUAAACAGUCGGCUGUAGCCUUUAAUCUGGUCCCCCCACAAUCAUUACCUCCAGAGCCGGGGACUGGGCUGGGGCGGGGGGGGCGGAAUGGGUAACACAAUUGCAGGAGAGUAAACAAAUGAAACCCAAUUUGUGUCCAUUUCUCUGUCGUUCCUCUGGCUUUUCCUGUAAUCUCGUUUGAAUGUUCGGUAAGGCGCCAAAGUCGCUAUCGUUUCAUCGGGCUGCUGCGUGUGUGUCCCGCAGCCCCGAUCUGCAGGUGUCUGUUUAAAGUGUACAGGGUAGAUAUCAUUUCUCACAGCCCAGUUGUGUUCAGGCUUGUAGCUUAUGAUAAUUGUGCUUUUGUGAGUGAAAUUGUAUAAAUAUGAUGAAUAAAAGCGUACCGCAUUAGGCAUCAAAGAUAAGCCUAAUAUUUAGUCUCCUUUACAGAUUAUUUGAGACAAGUUGGGUCUUUUGGCUUCUUCCAGUUAGAAGAAACAUGUUGGUCAAAUGAAAAUAUUACUUCAAACCUAAAUUUGCCAGUGGUAUAAAAUUGGGCGUAGCUGCAUCAUUUAAAACCCCAAUUUCUGGAACUAUUCAGAUGCUGCAGUUUUUAUUCGGGUCCUGACUCAUGUUGUUCAUAUUAUGCAUACAAUCACAAGAAUAAACGACUUUACAAUAGCAAUCAAACCGAUGGUUGUGCAUGUCUCACUGUUCCCCAUAUGAGGAGGCCAUGUUUUACUUAUGAGACUUUAAUAUCCCUACAGCAAUGUUGUUAAAAAGAUCAGGUAACGCUCCGGAUUUACAAAUUAAAUAUCAUGACCAAAAUAAACCAAACUGAACUGAACCCCACUCAAACUCUAUUUCACGAAGCUGCUCAAAAACACUUAAAAAUUAACUUCAUUCGGCUCAGACACUGAGGAAAUACACUAUUACUAAUUACUGUGGCUAAGCAUUCAGGAGGACUGUUAGGAGAGAGGUUAUGAGGCUGUGACAGAGGAUGGAAACGUAAGCAACUGUUCAAUAGUAAGCAUUUUCUUAAUAUAUUUCAUGCUCAUAAACAACAAUCCAUGCACUUCGAUUACCUCCACAAAACCCUCCUGUGUUUAUUUUUUCACAUUCUUUUCUUUGGCUCCAAUCAGUAGCCAUGCAUUUAUUUCACCGAUUACUGCCAAAUAGGAAAACAGAAAACAAGCAUUUUGUAGAUUUUACACAGUGACGUUAUACACGCCAUGUCAUAAUCCACUUUAGGUAGUGUCUUCUUAAUUUAAUUAAAAGUUUAAAUUAUUUAUCAAGUUCAACAGCCAUUGAAAAUACUGAUUUAUUUACGAACAUUUCAUGUGAAAUUUUUUUAAGUAUUCUGACUGAAAUACAGUGAUGUAGGCCUUUUCCAUGCAACCUUUUUAGCUCCGAAGUUGCUGGGGAAAGAAAACUUGAAGUUUAGACUUCAAAUCUUUUACUUUGCUUCACCUCCUGGAAAUAUAAGAAGGAAGCUGGGCAGGAAGGUAAAAAAAAUUCCACAUGCUGCUUCUAUGGUACAUUUUCCCCUCAAUAAAACACUCUCUACAUCCCCUGUGGUCCAAUAAUGGGUUUACAUAGACUCCGGUUUGCUUCACCAUCUUCCCGGUAUGCCCAUACAGAACUCUGCUGCCCACCUUAGCUGACAAGCGCUGACAAAAAAUUCUGGCUGUGAAACAUUGCCUCACAUGUCAAGAGUCAGGCAAGCUAUUUUUCCGUACCCCUAUUCGCUUGGUCUCCAGCUCUUACAUGAAAGUCUGUGAUUUGACUCCUUUCGCUGUGACCACAUGAGGGAACAGGUGCCUGUGAAAUUAAAGUCAGGGGGGUUUCAGAAAUGCAGAGAAGCCCGAUGCACUGCAGACUGCAGAUUACCUCUAUAGGGCAUGAAGGCCAGCAGAGAACCGAGGUAGCCCCCUAUGAGGAGCCCACAGGGAAUACCUUACCAACAGCUCCCCAAUGACAUCUUGGACAUUUUGUUCUUCUCUCUGCAGGGGGAAAAAAAACUGCACUUGUUUAGCGAUCACAGGGGUUUAUUUUUGAUGCUUGCUGUGUUAUCAGAAGAUGCAGUGCA